GAUGAACGCUGGCGGCGUGCUUAACACAUGCAAGUCGAACGGAAAGGCCCAAGCUUGCUUGGGUACUCGAGUGGCGAACGGGUGAGUAACACGUGGGUGAUCUGCCCUGCACUUCGGGAUAAGCCUGGGAAACUGGGUCUAAUACCGGAUAGGACCACAUUUUGGAUGGUGUGGUGGAAAGUUUUUCGGUGUGGGAUGAGCUCGCGGCCUAUCAGCUUGUUGGUGGGGUAAUGGCCUACCAAGGCGUCGACGGGUAGCCGGCCUGAGAGGGUGUACGGCCACAUUGGGACUGAGAUACGGCCCAGACUCCUACGGGAGGCAGCAGGGGGGAAUAUUGCACAAUGGGCGCAAGCCUGAUGCAGCGACGCCGCGGGGGGGAUGACGGCCUUCGGGUUGGAAACUCCUUUCGCUAGGGACGAAGCGUUAUGUGACGGUACCUGGAGAAGAAGCACCGGCUAACUACGUG
RNAcentral lists this ribosomal RNA (466 nucleotides) under uncultured bacterium. Its description in RNAcentral is "partial 16S ribosomal RNA". It matches the Rfam family "Bacterial small subunit ribosomal RNA", at positions 28 to 507 of the family's 1533-position model. The record is from RNAcentral.